GAUGAAGAACGCAGCGAAAUGCGAUAAGUAGUGUGAAUUGCAGAAUUCAGUGAAUCAUCGAAUCUUUGAACGCACAUUGCGCCUCCUGGCAUUCCGGGAGGCAUGCCUGUUCGAGCGUCAUCAAACCCCAUCGUGCAAAUGAAUUAUUUUUUUUGCGCGGAAGUGACGAUUGAGCGAGAAUAACAAAUCCUCUCGCACCUCGUCGAAAUGAUUGCGGGCGGAAUUUGGGAUCGGGUUCCUCGGCGUAGUGUAUCAAUGCAUAUUUAUGCAACUUGCCGCGGAGUUGAGCCUGACCCACGCGUUCUCGCCGUACAAACACCUCAUUACUUUACAAGUUUUUGACCUCGGAUCAGGUAGGGAUACCCGCUGAACUUAAGCAUAUCAAUAAGCCGAGGA
This 396-nucleotide unclassified non-coding RNA is filed under the name soil metagenome. Its description in RNAcentral is "partial contains 5.8S ribosomal RNA, internal transcribed spacer 2, and large subunit ribosomal RNA". The stretch from base 1 to 120 matches the Rfam family "5.8S ribosomal RNA", at positions 35 to 154 of the family's 154-position model. The record is from RNAcentral.